AUACGGAGGGGGUUAGCGUUGUUCGGAAUUACUGGGCGUAAAGCGUACGUAGGCGGACUGGAAAGUUGGGGGUGAAAUCCCGGGGCUCAACCCCGGAACUGCCUCCAAAACUUCCAAUCUAGAGAGCGAGAGAGGGGAGUGGAAUUCCAAGUGUAGAGGUGAAAUUCGUAGAUAUUUGGAGGAACACCAGUGGCGAAGGCGGCUCACUGGCUCGAUACUGACGCUGAGGUACGAAAGCGUGGGGAGCAAACAGGAUUAGAUACCCCAGUAGUCC
This 274-nucleotide ribosomal RNA is filed under the name uncultured bacterium. RNAcentral's name for it is "partial 16S ribosomal RNA". It matches the Rfam family "Bacterial small subunit ribosomal RNA", at positions 523 to 796 of the family's 1533-position model. The record is from RNAcentral.